Long non-coding RNA from Carcharodon carcharias (great white shark), 263 nucleotides. RefSeq lists it as uncharacterized. The transcript has 4 exons. The record is from RefSeq and is a predicted model, not a curated record. Lineage: Eukaryota; Metazoa; Chordata; Chondrichthyes; Lamniformes; Lamnidae.
AAACUCUCAGCUGCAGAGUAAGAUAUCCAUCUGUUUCAUCGGAGUGGACCCUAGUACUGACUGCGCAAUGACAAGAUUCCAAUGAAUGGAAAGCAGGAUUGCUUGGAGCUGGAAUCUGUUUGAGUGUUGGACUGAGUGGAUUCUUCAUCUUCAAGUGUGUGAGAAAAUGGAGCAGCACAGGAAGAGGUCAUUCAGCCCAAGCAGAGCGUUUGGGCAGUUACUCCCCAGGUGGGCAGUCGGACAGGUACUGGAAGAGAGGGGAC